RNAcentral lists this unclassified non-coding RNA (315 nucleotides) under plant metagenome. RNAcentral describes it as "partial contains 5.8S ribosomal RNA, internal transcribed spacer 2, and large subunit ribosomal RNA". The stretch from base 1 to 105 matches the Rfam family "5.8S ribosomal RNA", at positions 50 to 154 of the family's 154-position model. The record is from RNAcentral.
GAACUGCGAUAAGUAAUGUGAAUUGCAGAAUUCAGUGAAUCAUCGAGUCUUUGAACGCACAUUGCGCCCCCUGGCAUUCCGGGGGGCAUGCCUGUCCGAGCGUCAUUGCUGCCCUUCAAGCCCGGCUUGUGUGUUGGGUCGUCGUCCCCUCCGGGGGACGGGCCCGAAAGGCAGCGGCGGCACCGCGUCCGGUCCUCGAGCGUAUGGGGCUUUGUCACCCGCUCGAUAAGGACCGGCCGGGCGCCAGCCGGCGUCUCCAACCUUUUUUUCUCAGGUUGACCUCGGAGCAGGUAGGGAUACCCGCUGAACUUAAGC